CAUUGGAUCAUAAAACCGGUGGUCAUUAUGACCAAGUCAAACUUUUAUCUAAUUCUACUUAAACUGUUCUUUGUGCACUCUAAAUAAAAAUGAGUAAAAUUUACUCAAGAGUGUGGAAUCUGCAAUAAAUGGCUCAGUUUCAGAUAACCCAAACGACGUCCAUUUCUACCUGCAUCCUUACCCAGAGUAGGUAGCAUUCAUUUCAAUACGACUAAACCAUUUCCAUAGGUCGAAAUUAAUCUGUUGCAGGAACCCUGAACAAACAAUUGAACUUCUCCCAUAUGACAAAAAACCCUUGAAAAGGUUUGAGUUUAGGAGCAGGAACAAAACAUUAUUUUUAAUUCAUGGCUUCAUCUCUAAUUCCCAAACACAUAUGCCAGUCACAGUAAGGAAUGAAUAUCUUCGCUCUGGACUAAACUACAACGUAAUCACCGUAGAUUGGGGGCUCCUAUCGCUUCCAGCAGAAUCUCCGCUAACAAUACCCGUCAUUGUACAAUCCUUCCCUGUCGUGGUUCAAAACAUUCCAACAGUUUCCAAACGCAUCGCGAAGUUCAUUGAGUUUUUAGUUGAUCAAGAUUUUUCCACCCCUCAUCAAAUCCAUCUUGUGGGGCAUAGUCUCGGUUGCCAUGUAGCAGGUCAGGUUGGUCACAGAAUUCAAAUAGUUCGGCCAGGGCAGAAGUUGGGGCUCAUUUCAUAAUUGGAUCCUUCCGGUCCAAGUUUUCAGCAUCUUCCGCUUGACCUAAUUUUGGAUGAGAGUGAUGCUUCCUUUGUGGAUAUUUAUCACACCAACACAGGAAUACUUGGAUACCUCGGAAUGCUAAUGGUGGUCGACUACAGCCAGGCUGUUUUGGGGAAUCCAUUUGCAGCCACAACAUUGCUGUGGAAGUGUUUGCCGUCACAAUAAACCAAGUUGUAAAUGCCUGCAAGUGUAAGCACUUUAAGGAUUGGGGGCUAAGGAUUUAUUGCCCUUGCGAUGAUGAAAAUCUCGACAUACGGGCAGGUGAAUUAAUUCCGACUAAUGGAACUGAAGGACAAUAUUUCUUUACAACCUCGCCCAGCAUCCGGCUUUGCGUACCCUUUGAAUUCAAUUGUUAAUUUGAAGAUUAUGAAUGAUAUUAAAACACAUUUUCUUGUGUUACAUA
Molecule: long non-coding RNA, 1142 nt
Organism: Folsomia candida
Lineage: Eukaryota; Metazoa; Arthropoda; Collembola; Entomobryomorpha; Isotomidae
Exons: 6
Source: RefSeq, a predicted model, not a curated record